Molecule: ribosomal RNA, 445 nt
Filed under: uncultured soil bacterium
Lineage: Bacteria
Description: bacterial SSU rRNA
Rfam family: Bacterial small subunit ribosomal RNA
Source: RNAcentral
AGAGCGAACGCUGGCGGCAGGCCUAACACAUGCAAGUCGAACGGACCCUUCGGGGUUAGUGGCGGACGGGUGAGUAACACGUGGGAACGUGCCUUUUGGUUCGGAAUAGCUCCUGGAAACGGGUGGUAAUGCCGAAUGUGCCCUUCGGGGGAAAGAUUUAUCGCCAUUAGAGCGGCCCGCGUCUGAUUAGCUAGUUGGUGAGGUAAUGGCUCACCAAGGCGACGAUCAGUAGCUGGUCUGAGAGGAUGACCAGCCACAUUGGGACUGAGACACGGCCCAAACUCCUACGGGAGGCAGCAGUGGGGAAUCUUGCGCAAUGGGCGAAAGCCUGACGCAGCCAUGCCGCGUGAAUGAUGAAGGUCUUAGGAUUGUAAAAUUCUUUCACCGGGACGAUAAUGACGGUACCGGAGAAGAACGCCCGGCUAACUUCGUGCCGAGCAGCCGC